RNAcentral lists this ribosomal RNA (486 nucleotides) under uncultured bacterium. RNAcentral describes it as "partial 16S ribosomal RNA". It matches the Rfam family "Bacterial small subunit ribosomal RNA", at positions 28 to 507 of the family's 1533-position model. The record is from RNAcentral.
GAUGAACGCUGGCGGCGUGCCUAAUACAUGCAAGUCGAACGCUUGAGCUCUAUCUUUCUAGCUCGAAGGAGUGGCGAACGGGUGAGUAAUACAUAAGCAACCUACCCACGAAGUCUGGGAUAAUCUCUGGAAACGGGGACUAAUACCGGAUAGGUAAUCUGAAGUCUUCUUCUGGUUAUUAAAUGUUAAAAACACUGGUUGAUGGGCUUAUGGCGCAUUAGUUAGUUGGUGAGGUAACGGCCCACCAAGACGAUGAUGCGUAUCCGGCAUGAGAGGGUGAAAGGCCACAUGGGGAAUGAGAAACGGACAAGACUACUACGGGAGGAAGCAGUAGGGAAUUUUCGGAAAUGGGGGAAAACAGGACAGAGCAACGCAGCGUGAGUGAAGACGGCCUUCGGGUUGUAAAGCUCUGUUGUAAGGGAAGAAGGGUAGAUAGAGAAUAUCUAAGUGACGGUACCUUACCAGAAAGCAACGGCUAACUACGUG